RNAcentral lists this ribosomal RNA (2761 nucleotides) under Salmonella enterica. RNAcentral describes it as "partial 23S ribosomal RNA". It matches the Rfam family "Bacterial large subunit ribosomal RNA". Lineage: Bacteria; Pseudomonadati; Pseudomonadota; Gammaproteobacteria; Enterobacterales; Enterobacteriaceae. The record is from RNAcentral.
AGGUAAGAGGUUCUGACUACACGAUGGGGCUAUAGCUCAGCUGGGAGAGCGCCUGCUUUGCACGCAGGAGGUCUCCGAAUGGGGAAACCCAGUGUGACUCGUCACACUAUCAUUAACUGAAUCCAUAGGUUAAUGAGGCGAACCGGGGGAACUGAAACAUCUAAGUACCCCGAGGAAAAGAAAUCAACCGAGAUUCCCCCAGUAGCGGCGAGCGAACGGGGAGGAGCCCAGAGCCUGAAUCAGCAUGUGUGUUAGUGGAAGCGUCUGGAAAGGCGCGCGAUACAGGGUGACAGCCCCGUACACAAAAGCGCAUGUGCUGUGAGCUCGAUGAGUAGGGCGGGACACGUGGUAUCCUGUCUGAAUAUGGGGGGACCAUCCUCCAAGGCUAAAUACUCCUGACUGACCGAUAGUGAACCAGUACCGUGAGGGAAAGGCGAAAAGAACCCCGGCGAGGGGAGUGAAAAAGAACCUGAAACCGUGUACGUACAAGCAGUGGGAGCACAGGUUUACCUGUGUGACUGCGUACCUUUUGUAUAAUGGGUCAGCGACUUAUAUUCUGUAGCAAGGUUAACCGAAUAGGGGAGCCGGAGGGAAACCGAGUCUUAAUUGGGCGUUAAGUUGCAGGGUAUAGACCCGAAACCCGGUGAUCUAGCCAUGGGCAGGUUGAAGGUUGGGUAACACUAACUGGAGGACCGAACCGACUAAUGUUGAAAAAUUAGCGGAUGACCUGUGGCUGGGGGUGAAAGGCCAAUCAAACCGGGAGAUAGCUGGUUCUCCCCGAAAGCUAUUUAGGUAGCGCCUCGUGAAUUCAUCUCCGGGGGUAGAGCACUGUUUCGGCUAGGGGGCCAUCCCGGCUUACCAACCCGAUGCAAACUGCGAAUACCGGAGAAUGUUAUCACGGGAGACACACGGCGGGUGCUAACGUCCGUCGUGAAGAGGGAAACAACCCAGACCGCCAGCUAAGGUCCCAAAGUCAUGGUUAAGUGGGAAACGAUGUGGGAAGGCCCAGACAGCCAGGAUGUUGGCUUAGAAGCAGCCAUCAUUUAAAGAAAGCGUAAUAGCUCACUGGUCGAGUCGGCCUGCGCGGAAGAUGUAACGGGGCUAAACCAUGCACCGAAGCUGCGGCAGCGACGCUGAUGCGUUGUUGGGUAGGGGAGCGUUCUGUAAGCCUGCGAAGGUGGCCUGUGAGGGUUGCUGGAGGUAUCAGAAGUGCGAAUGCUGACAUAAGUAACGAUAAAGCGGGUGAAAAGCCCGCUCGCCGGAAGACCAAGGGUUCCUGUCCAACGUUAAUCGGGGCAGGGUGAGUCGACCCCUAAGGCGAGGCCGAAAGGCGUAGUCGAUGGGAAACGGGUUAAUAUUCCCGUACUUGGUGUUACUGCGAAGGGGGGACGGAGAAGGCUAUGUUGGCCGGGCGACGGUUGUCCCGGUUUAAGCGUGUAGGUGUGUGUUCCAGGUAAAUCCGGUUCACUUUAACACUGAGGCGUGAUGACGAGGCACUACGGUGCUGAAGCAACAAAUGCCCUGCUUCCAGGAAAAGCCUCUAAGCAUCAGGUAACAUCAAAUCGUACCCCAAACCGACACAGGUGGUCAGGUAGAGAAUACCAAGGCGCUUGAGAGAACUCGGGUGAAGGAACUAGGCAAAAUGGUGCCGUAACUUCGGGAGAAGGCACGCUGACACGUAGGUGAAGUGAUUUACUCAUGGAGCUGAAGUCAGUCGAAGAUACCAGCUGGCUGCAACUGUUUAUUAAAAACACAGCACUGUGCAAACACGAAAGUGGACGUAUACGGUGUGACGCCUGCCCGGUGCCGGAAGGUUAAUUGAUGGGGUCAGCGCAAGCGAAGCUCCUGAUCGAAGCCCCGGUAAACGGCGGCCGUAACUAUAACGGUCCUAAGGUAGCGAAAUUCCUUGUCGGGUAAGUUCCGACCUGCACGAAUGGCGUAAUGAUGGCCAGGCUGUCUCCACCCGAGACUCAGUGAAAUUGAACUCGCUGUGAAGAUGCAGUGUACCCGCGGCAAGACGGAAAGACCCCGUGAACCUUUACUAUAGCUUGACACUGAACAUUGAGCCUUGAUGUGUAGGAUAGGUGGGAGGCUUUGAAGUGUGGACGCCAGUCUGCAUGGAGCCGACCUUGAAAUACCACCCUUUAAUGUUUGAUGUUCUAACGUGGACCCGUGAUCCGGGUUGCGGACAGUGUCUGGUGGGUAGUUUGACUGGGGCGGUCUCCUCCUAAAGAGUAACGGAGGAGCACGAAGGUUGGCUAAUCCUGGUCGGACAUCAGGAGGUUAGUGCAAUGGCAUAAGCCAGCUUGACUGCGAGCGUGACGGCGCGAGCAGGUGCGAAAGCAGGUCAUAGUGAUCCGGUGGUUCUGAAUGGAAGGGCCAUCGCUCAACGGAUAAAAGGUACUCCGGGGAUAACAGGCUGAUACCGCCCAAGAGUUCAUAUCGACGGCGGUGUUUGGCACCUCGAUGUCGGCUCAUCACAUCCUGGGGCUGAAGUAGGUCCCAAGGGUAUGGCUGUUCGCCAUUUAAAGUGGUACGCGAGCUGGGUUUAGAACGUCGUGAGACAGUUCGGUCCCUAUCUGCCGUGGGCGCUGGAGAACUGAGGGGGGCUGCUCCUAGUACGAGAGGACCGGAGUGGACGCAUCACUGGUGUUCGGGUUGUCAUGCCAAUGGCACUGCCCGGUAGCUAAAUGCGGAAGAGAUAAGUGCUGAAAGCAUCUAAGCACGAAACUUGCCCCGAGAUGAGUUCUCCCUGAGACUU